CAGCAGCCACGGUAAUACGGAGGGAGCUAGCGUUGUUCGGAAUUACUGGGCGUAAAGCGCACGUAGGCGGCUUUGUAAGUUAGAGGUAAAAGCCUGGAGCUCAACUCCAGAAUUGCCUUUAAGACUGCAUCGCUUGAAUCCAGGAGAGGUGAGUGGAAUUCCGAGUGUAGAGGUGAAAUUCGUAGAUAUUCGGAAGAACACCAGUGGCGAAGGCGGCUCACUGGACUGGUAUUGACGCUGAGGUGCGAAAGCGUGGGGAGCAAACAGGAUUAGAUACCCCUGUAGUCCCUGUCUCUUAUAC
Molecule: ribosomal RNA, 301 nt
Filed under: uncultured bacterium
Lineage: Bacteria
Description: partial 16S ribosomal RNA
Rfam family: Bacterial small subunit ribosomal RNA
Source: RNAcentral